GUCCGCGAGAAGAAAUUGUGUCGCAAUC
Molecule: small RNA, 28 nt
Filed under: Bombyx mori (domestic silkworm)
Lineage: Eukaryota; Metazoa; Arthropoda; Insecta; Lepidoptera; Bombycidae
Description: ovarian small RNA-17754
Source: RNAcentral